This 488-nucleotide ribosomal RNA is filed under the name uncultured Lachnospiraceae bacterium. Its description in RNAcentral is "bacterial SSU rRNA". It matches the Rfam family "Bacterial small subunit ribosomal RNA", at positions 8 to 507 of the family's 1533-position model. Lineage: Bacteria; Bacillati; Bacillota; Clostridia; Lachnospirales; Lachnospiraceae. The record is from RNAcentral.
AGAGUUUGAUCCUGGCUCAGGAUGAACGCUGGCGGCGUGCCUAACACACGCAAGUCGAACGGAGUUACGAUGAAACCUAGUGAUUCGUAACUUAGUGGCGGACGGGUGAGUAACGCGUGGAUAACCUGCCUUACACUGGGGGAUAACACUUAGAAAUAGGUGCUAAUACCGCAUAAGCGCACAGAGCCGCAUGGCUCAGUGUGAAAAACUCCGGUGGUGUAAGAUGGAUCCGCGUCUGAUUAGCUGGUUGGCGGGGUAGAAGCCCACCAAGGCGACGAUCAGUAGCCGGCCUGAGAGGGUGAACGGCCACAUUGGGACUGAGACACGGCCCAAACUCCUACGGGAGGCGGCAGUGGGGAAUAUUGCACAAUGGAGGAAACCCUGAUGCAGCAACGCCGCGUGAGUGAAGAAGUCAUUCGUGAUGUAAAGCUCUAUCAGCAGGGAAGAAAAUGACGGUACCUGAGUAAGAAGCCCCGGCUAACUACGUG